This 642-nucleotide ribosomal RNA is filed under the name uncultured beta proteobacterium. RNAcentral describes it as "SSU rRNA". It matches the Rfam family "Bacterial small subunit ribosomal RNA", at positions 280 to 915 of the family's 1533-position model. Lineage: Bacteria; Pseudomonadati; Pseudomonadota; Betaproteobacteria. The record is from RNAcentral.
UCUGUAGUUGGUCUGAGAGGACGACCAGCCACACUGGAACUGAGACACGGUCCAGACUCCUACGGGAGGCAGCAGUGGGGAAUUUUGGACAAUGGGCGCAAGCCUGAUCCAGCAAUGCCGCGUGAGUGAAGAAGGCCUUCGGGUUGUAAAGCUCUUUUGUCAGGGAAGAAACGGGUGGGGCUAAUAUCCUCAGCUAAUGACGGUACCUGAAGAAUAAGCACCGGCUAACUACGUGCCAGCAGCCGCGGUAAUACGUAGGGUGCAAGCGUUAAUCGGAAUUACUGGGCGUAAAGCGUGCGCAGGCGGUUUUGUAAGUCUGUCGUGAAAUCCCCGGGCUCAACCUGGGAAUGGCGAUGGAGACUGCAAGGCUAGAAUCUGGCAGAGGGGGGUAGAAUUCCACGUGUAGCAGUGAAAUGCGUAGAGAUGUGGAGGAACACCGAUGGCGAAGGCAGCCCCCUGGGUCAAGAUUGACGCUCAUGCACGAAAGCGUGGGGAGCAAACAGGAUUAGAUACCCUGGUAGUCCACGCCCUAAACGAUGUCUACUAGUUGUCGGGUUUUAAUUAACUUGGUAACGCAGCUAACGCGUGAAGUAGACCGCCUGGGGAGUACGGUCGCAAGAUUAAAACUCAAAGGAAUUGACG